Molecule: long non-coding RNA, 634 nt
Filed under: Dasypus novemcinctus (nine-banded armadillo)
Lineage: Eukaryota; Metazoa; Chordata; Mammalia; Cingulata; Dasypodidae
Description: lncRNA (ENSDNOG00000050906.1)
Source: RNAcentral
GGUCACUAAUUGCCUCCUUGUUGACAGUGCCAGGAGACAAAACCCAGGACCCGAACGUCGAGCGAUUCGCUAAAGGGCUGAGAUGGACGGCUGUCACCGUCCAGUGUGCUCUCGAGGGGAUAAGGAGUGCGAGGCUGCGGUGUCUUACCUUCCCACAGCUGGACAACGAGGUGCACACAGGAAGUGCUCCCGACACUGCGAGGAAGCACAGCCCCGCACAGGUGUGAUGCACGUGGAUAAGCCAGCGUGGAGCCGGGUCUUCUGCGGGUCUGGGUCUAACCUCCACAGGACACGUGAAUAUUCAACAACUACUUAAAAGGAAGUCCGGUUGCCUUGUUGGGCCAGGAACCAAGUGGGUUCCUGCUCAGGCCAGUUUCCUGCUCUUUCCACCAAACCAGUGGAAGUAAUCCAAGUAUGAACUGCACUAUUUGUGCAUUUCCAGGGCUCUGAAAGUAAUGGCUGUGCAAAGCAAUGAAAAGCACACCCCUGCAGCACUCUGCUGUAAGAUAAACGGAUGCUCCCUUCUACAAAGUACAAAAUACCACCAACUCAAAAACUUAGCACAGGACAUGCUUCUCACAGGGACUGCCUUUUCCUGGGUGGGUGGGUGGGACACAUGUCCCACUGACAAUCG